This 274-nucleotide ribosomal RNA is filed under the name uncultured bacterium. Its description in RNAcentral is "partial 16S ribosomal RNA". It matches the Rfam family "Bacterial small subunit ribosomal RNA", at positions 523 to 796 of the family's 1533-position model. The record is from RNAcentral.
AUACGGAGGGGACUAGCGUUGUUCGGAAUUACUGGGCGUAAAGAGUACGUAGGCGGUCUAUCAAGUUGGGUGUGAAAGCCCGGGGCUCAACCCCGGAACUGCACUCAAAACUGAUAAACUAGAGAUCGGAAGAGGUAAGUGGAAUUCCCAGUGUAGAGGUGAAAUUCGUAGAUAUUGGGAAGAACACCAGUGGCGAAGGCGGCUUACUGGUCCGAGACUGACGCUGAGGUACGAAAGCGUGGGGAGCAAACAGGAUUAGAAACCCCAGUAGUCC